GGACCUAGUGGACGACCUGGUCUUCCGGGAGACAAAGGUGGCCUUGGGAUUCCAGGACGUAUGGGAUUGAAGGGUCAGCCUGGAGAGAAGGGAGCUCCAGGAGAACCUGGCAUGUCAGUUAUAGGACCUCGUGGCCCUCCUGGACAACCUGGAACACGAGGGUUUCCGGGCUUUCCUGGACCAAUAGGAUUAGACGGCAAGUCAGGCCACCCUGGUCAGAAAGGAGAGAAAGGGGAAAUGGGUCCGCCUGGUCCCAAAGGGCAACCUGUAA
Molecule: long non-coding RNA, 271 nt
Organism: Pelobates fuscus (common spadefoot toad)
Lineage: Eukaryota; Metazoa; Chordata; Amphibia; Anura; Pelobatidae
Exons: 8
Source: RefSeq, a predicted model, not a curated record